CCUACGGGGGGCUGCAGUGGGGAAUUUUGCGCAAUGGACGAAAGUCUGACGCAGCAACGCCGCGUGGGUGAUGAAGGUCUUCGGAUCGUAAAACCCUGUCGUCAGGGACGAAGGUUGCAUGUCUAAUAGAUGUGCAGCUUGACGGUACCUGGAGAGGAAGCCCCGGCUAACUCUGUGCCAGCAGCCGCGGUAAUACAGAGGGGGCAAGCGUUAUUCGGAGGGCGUGGGCGUGAAGGGCGAGGUGAGGGGGGUAAUCCCCGAGCUUAACUUGGGAACUGCAUCUCAGACUGGGGCGCUAGAGUGCUGGAGAGGGUGGUGGAAUUCCACGUGUAGCGGUGAAAUGCGUAGAGAUGUGGAGGAACACCAGUGGCGAAGGCGGCCACCUGGACAGUAACUGACGCUGAGGCGCGAAAGUGUGGGGAGCAAACAGGAUUAGAUACCCUAGUAGUC
This 450-nucleotide ribosomal RNA is filed under the name uncultured bacterium. Its description in RNAcentral is "partial 16S ribosomal RNA". It matches the Rfam family "Bacterial small subunit ribosomal RNA", at positions 338 to 795 of the family's 1533-position model. The record is from RNAcentral.